GAUGAACGCUAGCGAUAGGCUUAACACAUGCAAGUCGAGGGACCGGCGCCCGGGUGCGUAACGCGUAUACAACCUGCCUCACAGAGGGGGAUAACCCGUCGCAAGACGGACUACUACCGCGUCCUGUGAUAUACGCAUGCGUCCCAUUCGCCAGUUGGUGAUGUAACGGCUGACCAAGGCAACGAUGGGUAGGGGAACUGAGAGGUUGAACCCCAACGCUGAUACUGGGAAACGAACCAGACUCCAACGGGAGGGAGCAGUGAGGAAUAUUGGUGAAUGGGCGAGAGCCUGAACCAGCCAAGUCGCGUGAAGGAUGACUGUCUAUUGAGUGUAAACUGCUUUUGUAGGAGAAUAUGUACCCUACGAAUAAGCAUCGGCUAACUCCGUGCCAGCAGCCGCGGUAAUUC
RNAcentral lists this ribosomal RNA (407 nucleotides) under uncultured bacterium. Its description in RNAcentral is "partial 16S ribosomal RNA". It matches the Rfam family "Bacterial small subunit ribosomal RNA", at positions 28 to 526 of the family's 1533-position model. The record is from RNAcentral.